CAGUUAAAAAGCUCGUAGUUGGAUUUCUAGCGGACGCGUCUGGUCUGCUCCGCGAGGAGUCGGUACUGAGUCGUCGUCUGUUAUCCUUGAGGAGAAUAUUCCUGGCAUUAAGUUGUCGGGAGUAGUAUCCUCAUCGUUUACUGUGAAAAAAUUAGAGUGUUCAAAGCAAGCUUAGGCUCUGAAUAUAUUAGCAUGGAAUAAUAAGAUAAGACCCUGGUGGUUUAUUUUGUUGGUUUGCACGCCGAGGUAAUGAUUAAUAGGGAUAGUUGGGGGUAUUCGUAUUCAAUUGUCAGAGGUGAAAUUCUUGGAUUUAUGGAAGACGAACUACUGCGAAAGCAUUUACCAAGGAUGUUUUAUUAAUCAAGAACGAAAGUUAGGGGAUCGAAGAUGAUUAGAUACCAUCGUAGUCUUAACCAUAAACUAUGCCGACUCGGGAUUGGCGGUCGUUUCUAUCCGACUCCGUCAGCACCGUAUGAGAAAUCAAAGUCUUUGGGUUCCGGGGGGAGUAUGGUCGCAAGGCUGAAACUUAAAGAAAU
Molecule: ribosomal RNA, 536 nt
Filed under: uncultured marine eukaryote
Lineage: Eukaryota
Description: SSU rRNA
Rfam family: Eukaryotic small subunit ribosomal RNA
Source: RNAcentral